UGGGGAAUAUUGCACAAUGGGCGCAAGCCUGAUGCAGCCAUGCCGCGUGUGUGAAGAAGGCCUUCGGGUUGUAAAGCACUUUCAGCGAGGAGGAAGGCGUUAAGGUUAAUAACCUUAGCGAUUGACGUUACUCGCAGAAGAAGCACCGGCUAACUCCGUGCCAGCAGCCGCGGUAAUACGGAGGGUGCAAGCGUUAAUCGGAAUUACUGGGCGUAAAGCGCACGCAGGCGGUUUGUUAAGUCAGAUGUGAAAUCCCCGAGCUUAACUUGGGAACUGCAUUUGAAACUGGCAAGCUAGAGUCUUGUAGAGG
RNAcentral lists this ribosomal RNA (310 nucleotides) under uncultured bacterium. Its description in RNAcentral is "partial 16S ribosomal RNA". It matches the Rfam family "Bacterial small subunit ribosomal RNA", at positions 355 to 657 of the family's 1533-position model. The record is from RNAcentral.